RNAcentral lists this ribosomal RNA (403 nucleotides) under uncultured bacterium. Its description in RNAcentral is "partial 16S ribosomal RNA". It matches the Rfam family "Bacterial small subunit ribosomal RNA", at positions 29 to 526 of the family's 1533-position model. The record is from RNAcentral.
AUUGAACGCUGGCGGCAGGCCUAACACAUGCAAGUCGAGCGAGCGGCGGACGGGUGAGUAAUGUAUGGGGACUGCCCGAUAGAGGGGGAUAACUACUGGAAACGGUGGCUAAUACCGCAUACUAUCGGAUAACCCAUAUGGGAUUAGCUAGUAGGUGGGGUAAAGGCUCACCUCGGCGACGAUCUCUAGCUGGUUUGAGAGGAUGAUCAGCAACACUGGGACUGGGAAACGGCCAGAACGCCUACGGAGGAAGCAGGGGGGAAUAUUGCACAAGGGGCGCAAGCCUGAUGCAGCCAUGCCGCGUGUAGGAAGAAGGCCUUAGGGUUGUAAAGUACUUUCAGCGGGGAGGCGUUACCCGCAGAAGACGCACCGGCUAACUCCGUGCCAGCCGCCGCGGUAAUAC